This 627-nucleotide small RNA is filed under the name Pongo abelii (Sumatran orangutan). RNAcentral's name for it is "processed transcript". Lineage: Eukaryota; Metazoa; Chordata; Mammalia; Primates; Hominidae. The record is from RNAcentral.
AGAGAAAUCAGGGCUAAUGAACCAUCUAAGUACAGGCCAUGAGGGUUCGAUUUUGUGUAAGAGACAUGGCCAGAUCUAUUAGGUGGACCAGGUGUGGACCAAAGGCAAUUUAAUUUUAGUUAUAAUUGAGGAAGUCGAAGAAAGCAUUGAAUGGGAGACAUUGCAGAAGAAGGAACAGCAUAAAAUCAAGGAAAAACUUAGAAUAAGAACAAAAGCAGCUGUAAAGAUCCAGGCCUGGUGGCGGGGCACCCUGGUGCGCAGGACACUGCUACAUGCAGCCCUCAGGGCCUGGAUAAUUCAGUGCUGGUGGCGGAUGAUGCUGUCAAAGGUGCUGGAGAAGAAACGGCAGGCAGCUCUGAUCGCCUACGCAACCACAGAGAGGGCAGUGAUCAAGCUCCAGUCUUUGGUCCGUAUGUGGCGCGUCCGCUGGCGAUACUGCCAGGUGCUCAAUGCCAUCUACGUCAUCCAGGGCCACUGGCAAUGCCACAACUGCCAGACCUGCGCUCUCCUCCGGGGCCACUGUGUGGUCACAGCCACUCACUUGCAGUUCCACAUUGAGAUCAUCAACUCCUAAGGGCUGGCAAGAAGGGCACUGUGUCUACUGUCCCUAUUAAAGGUCUAACCUGG